UACGGAGGAUGCAAGCGUUAUCCGGAAUCAUUGGGUUUAAAGGGUCCGUAGGCGGCCUGAUAAGUCAGUGGUGAAAUCUCCUAGCUCAACUAGGAAACUGCCAUUGAUACUGUCGGGCUUGAAUUGUGGUGAAGUAACUAGAAUAUGUAGUGUAGCGGUGAAAUGCUUAGAUAUUACAUGGAAUACCAAUUGCGAAGGCAGGUUACUAACCAUUGAUUGACGCUGAUGGACGAAAGCGUGGGGAGCGAACAGGAUUAGAUACCCUGGUAGUCCACGCUGUAAACGAUGGAUACUAGCUGUUGGGAGUAAUCUCAGUGGCUAAGCGAAAGUGAUAAGUAUCCCACCUGGGGAGUACGCACGCAAGUGUGAA
RNAcentral lists this ribosomal RNA (370 nucleotides) under uncultured bacterium. RNAcentral describes it as "bacterial SSU rRNA". It matches the Rfam family "Bacterial small subunit ribosomal RNA", at positions 524 to 898 of the family's 1533-position model. The record is from RNAcentral.